CCAGUAUUUCCGGCGUAUAAGACGACUCGGCGUAUAAGACGACCCCCAUCUUUGGCGCUGAUUUCAGCGCUCGCGGAAGUCGCCUUAUACGCCAGCAUUUACGGGUACUUAAAAAAUUGACUAUUAUAGAAAUGUUUAAAUGCAGAGAAAUAAAGUGUUAUUAUUUAGUAGUACACCUCUAAGGCUUUGCAAAGAAUCUUAAGAUGUAUUUCUUCACUUUUCCCUAAUGCCUUGGAAAGUUAUAUCAAAGUGGAGCUGAAAUCCUGCAUGCGUUUCCUGUUAUUCAUUCUCUAAUGGCAGAGUGUAAAAACACAUUCAGCAUACUCCUAAGUAGAAAUUUAUACGUUAUUCUUAAAUAAUGUCUUAGAUUCGUAGAGUGCCUCUGUUGACUAUUAUACAUCUUCAAGUAAUCUGUAAGACAUCUGUGUUCCUUCUCUCCUGCCUUCCAGCCAACAAAUGCAAAAUAUAAUCAUUUACGGUACUCAUAUUCUGCAUCUUACGAUACAACAGCUCUUGAAUGAAAAAAAUAAACUUUCACUCCAUAUGGAAGUGGAAAAUAAUGACUUUCUUCGCAUCCAUAUUUUUAGUAUAUACUGUAUGCAUUUGGUAAGUUUACAAAAAAAAUGUAAUGUUUUGGUAUGAGGAUUUAUACUCACCCUUGAGGGAUUAAUCUAUUAAGUUCAUUUUUAUAUUUGUUUAUUAUAUUUCAUAAUUUAUAUUUAUAUUUUUAUAUUAUUGUCAUGCUUAUAUUUAUAUUUUUAUAUUAGUGCCAUGCUUAUAUUUAUUAAUUUUUAUCUGCUUUAUUCAUUCAUUCUAGCUCUGUAUGGUUGCAUGUGAGAAAGAGAAUGAAGUUCUCCAAUGAAUGUUAUUAUUUUGUACUGGGAGUAAAACUGAAUCAGGUGGAUCAUCUACUGAUUCUCACAAACUUUCUCUCUAGAGAACAAUAAAUUUUCAAGGAUGUUCACAAGACUUUUAAUUCCACUGCAGCCAUUUAGAAAUCCCCUAUCACAGUACUGUUCUAAAGUGAAGAAUUCCUGACUAUACCUGCAGUCAUCUGUGAACUGGAGAUUAGGAUCACAAGAAUGCAAGUAGACCCCCACUACAAUGUUCUUCAUGUGCUUUUUUAAACCUAGUAAAAUUUUGUAAGAAUAUAUGUUAGGUAAGCAUUCAUUAUAUAAAAAGAAUAAAAAGAUUUGAAAUAUAUUUGUUGUUCUGUAUAAACCAGGCAAGGUUAGUGGUUAUGGGAUUUAUUUUCUGAAAUUAAUGACAAUCAACUAUUCCGUAACAAUGCAGAGUCUUCUAAUAUUGACAGCAUGCAAAGAGAAGACAAUUUCCAUUUGGUACAUAUUAAGACAAUGUAAAUUAAAUUUGGUUCAAAAAGUCA
Long non-coding RNA from Crotalus tigris (Tiger rattlesnake), 1384 nucleotides. RefSeq lists it as uncharacterized. The transcript has 2 exons. The record is from RefSeq and is a predicted model, not a curated record. NCBI's taxonomy places the organism in Eukaryota, Metazoa, Chordata, Lepidosauria, Squamata, Viperidae.